CCACUCCCUAAAAUUUCUCCCACAAACAAAUCAAAUCUCUACCUUAUAUAUAUCUCUUUCCACAACUGUAUUUUAUUUUAUUAGCGCCGUUCUAGACCCUAUUGCAGUGUUCCUUUUUUCUCUUCCGUGAAGUGGGAAGGAGGAAUUGAGAGUGUUGUAACUACCGUCUGUUUGUGCGAACCUUGCUUCUUCCCAAAGAAAGGGGAGCAGGGGAGAUAAAUGCUUCCUGACGUGAACGGAGGAUGUAGUGUUGAAUCUGUGAUUCCAGAGAGAGGCGUGAGAGAGAGAUAUGAGAGAUGGGAGUACUGCUCCUGCUCCAAAAUUUUGUGUGAAGGGACCGAAGGAAAAAGAUGAACUGGGAGGUGUAAGUGCUGAGAGUGUAUUAAUAAAUAUGGUUUGUUCAUGUAUUUAUUUGAGGCAGAGAAAGAAAGCAUGAAUUACAGUAGAGAAGGAGAGGAAGUUUUCGACAGUUUAGAGAAGGGAGUGUAUAAUUAUUUUUUUUCUUUCCAGCCAUUUUAUU
Molecule: non-coding RNA, 520 nt
Organism: Salvia hispanica
Lineage: Eukaryota; Viridiplantae; Streptophyta; Magnoliopsida; Lamiales; Lamiaceae
Source: RefSeq, a predicted model, not a curated record